CUCUCUCUCUCUCUCUCUCUCUCUCUCUCAGUAAAAUCUUAACAGGAAAAAAAAAAAAACCAGGAGUAAUAAACAGGAGUUGUUGUUCGGGUUCUCUUAAAGUUAAGUGGGCCCAAGUGUUGUAUCAACUACACCUUCCUCCCCAAACUUUUAGUAUUAAAGUUAAGAAUUGAGGUUUGAAUACUUAGUGGGUUGCUGUGCCUUCAAGACAAACCAAGAUGUGCACAAAAUAGCCAUGCCUUCUCCUAGGUCAGAGAGAUCCACGCACCUUGAAAGCCUGCUCUGUGCCUUGGAGGCUUGUAAACUCUUACAGCUACAGUGGCUAAGCUGUGACCAUGAGAGCCAUUUUACUGAUGAAGCUCGAAAACAAACACUAUCAUCUAUUUAUUGGGCGCUGGUUUUUAUAAACUCUUUUUAGGUAAGAUCUUGCUAUGUAGCCUCUUAACUUCUAUCCCUGCCUGUUUCCCCUUGGCUAGGGUUACAGGCAUGCAUCACUAUGGCUGGCAAGCCUGUAGCUUCUUAAGGCCACCAGGCCAUUAAGGAUGAUAAGUGAUGCCUCUUUCCCUCGUUUUCUGCUGCCCUUUGCUUUGCAACUUGACUGGCAUGAAAAUUGUAUUCCCUUGUCUACAAACAGACCACUUAGUCAUCUUCCAUCAAGAUACAGGCUCCAUCCCACUGGCUACACAGUUGCACUCAAACGCCCAGACCCCUGUGGGUUUGAUUUUCUGCUUUUGGAAUUCUCUGAAGUACAGUAAGUUAAGCUGCAGCUUUUAAAAGUUCUUUCGUCUCCAUGUCAGCAUUCAUGGGAAAAACCAAGCCCUUGUUUGUAGAGAACAGAGUUAUGUUUGGACGUGUCUAU
This 859-nucleotide long non-coding RNA is filed under the name Rattus norvegicus (Norway rat). RNAcentral's name for it is "long non-coding RNA NONRATT024739". Lineage: Eukaryota; Metazoa; Chordata; Mammalia; Rodentia; Muridae. The record is from RNAcentral.